Molecule: long non-coding RNA, 118 nt
Organism: Octodon degus (degu)
Lineage: Eukaryota; Metazoa; Chordata; Mammalia; Rodentia; Octodontidae
Exons: 3
Source: RefSeq, a predicted model, not a curated record
AGUUUAUUAAUGUUCAAAUUAUUCCUUUGUUCUAAGCCACAGUGUGUUAAAGGUUAAGAUCUGAACUAUUUCUUACCCCAGAGCACUCCACACAGUAUGUCCCGUUGGGACAGGGAGA